AACUGAUACUACCUGCGGGAACCUGCGGAGGGAUCAUUACAGGACUCGCAAGACUCCUACAACCCUGUGAACUUAACUAUAAGCACGUUGCUUCGGCGGGUGUCUCGGCGAGGGUUCUCCCUCCCCGGGGCGCUAAGCCCGCCGGCAGCCUACUAUACUCUGUCUCUUUGCGUUGGCAUCUCGAGUACAAACAAACAAGUUAAAACUUUUAACAACGGAUCUCUAGAUCGGAAGAGCACA
This 240-nucleotide unclassified non-coding RNA is filed under the name soil metagenome. Its description in RNAcentral is "partial contains 5.8S ribosomal RNA, internal transcribed spacer 2, and large subunit ribosomal RNA". The record is from RNAcentral.